AUUGAACGCUGGCGGCAGGCUUAACACAUGCAAGUCGAGCGGGCCCUUCGGGGUCAGCGGCGGACGGGUGAGUAACGCGUGGGAACGUGCCUUCUGGUUCGGAAUAACCCUGGGAAACUAGGGCUAAUACCGGAUACGCCCUUUUGGGGAAAGGUUUACUGCCGGAAGAUCGGCCCGCGUCUGAUUAGCUAGUUGGUGGGGUAACGGCCUAUCAAGGCGACGAUCAGUAGCUGGUCUGAGAGGAUGAUCAGCCACACUGGGACUGCGACACGGCCCAGAUGCCUACGGGAGGCAGCAGUGGGGAAGAUUGGACGAUGGGCGCAAGCCUGGUCCAGCCAUGCCGCGUGAGUGAUGAAGGCCUUAGGGUUGUAAAGCUCUUUUAUCCGGGACGAUAAUGACGGUACCGGAGGAAUAAGCCCCGGCUAACUUCGUGCCAGCAGCCGCCGCAG
Molecule: ribosomal RNA, 449 nt
Filed under: uncultured bacterium
Lineage: Bacteria
Description: partial 16S ribosomal RNA
Rfam family: Bacterial small subunit ribosomal RNA
Source: RNAcentral